GCCGGGCGUGGUGGCGGGCGCCUGUAAUCCCAGCUACUCGGGAGGCUGAGGCAGGAGAAUGGCGUGAACCCGGGAGGCGGAGCUUGCAGUGAGCCGAGAUCACGCCACUGCACUCCAGCCUGGGUGAAAGUGCCAGACUCCGUCUCAA
Macaca fascicularis (crab-eating macaque) is the source of this 148-nucleotide unclassified non-coding RNA. It matches the Rfam family "Metazoan signal recognition particle RNA". From Rfam's summary of the family: The signal recognition particle (SRP) is a universally conserved ribonucleoprotein. It is involved in the co-translational targeting of proteins to membranes. The record is from Ensembl. NCBI's taxonomy places the organism in Eukaryota, Metazoa, Chordata, Mammalia, Primates, Cercopithecidae.